Molecule: small nuclear RNA, 157 nt
Filed under: Saimiri boliviensis boliviensis (Bolivian squirrel monkey)
Lineage: Eukaryota; Metazoa; Chordata; Mammalia; Primates; Cebidae
Description: U4 spliceosomal RNA (ENSSBOG00000000647.1)
Rfam family: U4 spliceosomal RNA (bases 1-111)
About the family: U4 small nuclear RNA (U4 snRNA) is a component of the major U2-dependent spliceosome. The structure of U4 snRNA from yeast and human has been reported.
Source: Rfam by way of RNAcentral
AGGCUGGAGUGAAGUGGUGUAUCGUAGCCAAUGAGGUUUAUCCGAGGCGCGAUUAUUGCUAAUUGAAAAAUAUGAAUUACUGAUAUCAAUUUUCCCUUAUAACCCUGGCUAUCCUAUUGUAAUUGGGAAAAAAAGUAUAUAAAGAGACAGAAAGGCC